This is a long non-coding RNA of Diorhabda carinulata, 239 nucleotides long. RefSeq lists it as uncharacterized. The transcript has 2 exons. The record is from RefSeq and is a predicted model, not a curated record. NCBI's taxonomy places the organism in Eukaryota, Metazoa, Arthropoda, Insecta, Coleoptera, Chrysomelidae.
UUACUAUGUCUGGAGGUAAAUUCUUCAAGUUAUUAUGUGAUACGUUAAAUUCUGUAAGUCUAACUAGAAACCCUAUGCCCGACGAACAUGCUCCAGUUCCAUCAGAUCGAGGCGCAGUUAAGUGAGAUGCAUCCCCCGACAGUCCAUAACCUAGAAAAUAUAAAUUUAAUUUAUAGAUAGUUAUUUUGAAAUGUUAGUUACCUAAAACUUCAGCAUAAAUGUAAGCAUUUCUGUUUAAA